GACUCACACCUUUUUUUCCAACCUCACAGAGUUUUAGAGUCCUGCAUGUGGCUGUGCAGAGAUUGUGGUUCCUCUCACACAUCCAGAUCUAAUCCAGCACCCUUUAUAGAGCAAGAGGUAUUGGUGAAAUCCAGUUGGAUUACAACAAUCCCUUUGGUCUCCAAAUAUAUGGGACUGCUUGAUAAUUUCUCAAACCAAAGACAGGAGCAGCAGCAGCACAGAAGAUCACAAACAUCCUGUCAGUUAUGGCUCAGAAUGUCUCCAUC
This is a long non-coding RNA of Sinocyclocheilus grahami, 266 nucleotides long. RefSeq lists it as uncharacterized. The transcript has 3 exons. The record is from RefSeq and is a predicted model, not a curated record. NCBI's taxonomy places the organism in Eukaryota, Metazoa, Chordata, Actinopteri, Cypriniformes, Cyprinidae.